ACUAAGCGUACACGGUGGAUGCCUUGGCAGUCAGAGGCGAUGAAAGACGUAGUAACUUGCGAUAAGCCCAGAUUAGGUAGUAACAACCAUUUGAGUCUGGGAUUUCUGAAUGGGGAAACCCACGUGCAUAAGCACGUAUCCUUACCUGAAUACAUAGGGUAAGGAGGCGAACCGGGGGAACUGAAACAUCUAAGUACCCCGAGGAAAAGAAAUCAACCGAGAUUCCGAAAGUAGCGGCGAGCGAAAUUGGACUAGCCCUUAAGCUUUACACGCGUUAGACGAACGGUCUGGAAAGUCCGACGAUACAGGGUGAUAGUCCCGUAGUUGACGACGUGUGUUCAGUGAAAUCGAGUAGGGCGGGACACGUGAUAUCCUGUCUGAAUAUGGGGGACCAUCCUCCAAGGCUAAAUACUACUGACUGACCGAUAGUGAACCAGUACCGUGAGGGAAAGGCGAAAAGAACCCCUGUGAGGGGAGUGAAAUAGAACCUGAAACCGUGUACGUACAAGCAGUAGGAGCAGGCUUUGUCCUGUGACUGCGUACCUUUUGUAUAAUGGGUCAGCGACUUAUAUUCAGUGGCAAGGUUAACCAUCUAGGGGAGCCGUAGGGAAACCGAGUCUUAACUGGGCGUUCAGUCUCUGGAUAUAGACCCGAAACCAGGUGAUCUAGCCAUGGGCAGGUUGAAGGUUGAGUAACAUCAACUGGAGGACCGAACCGACUAAUGUUGAAAAAUUAGCGGAUGACUUGUGGCUAGGGGUGAAAGGCCAAUCAAACCUGGAGAUAGCUGGUUCUCCCGAAAGCUAUUUAGGUAGCGCCUCGGACGAAUACUACUGGGGGUAGAGCACUGUUAAGGCUAGGGGUCAUCCCGACUUACCAACCCUUUGCAAACUCCGAAUACCAGUAAGUACUAUCCGGGAGACACACGGCGGGUGCUAACGUCCGUCGUGGAGAGGGAAACAACCCAGACCGCCAGCUAAGGUCCCAAAUUACUACUAAGUGGGAAACGAUGUGGGAAGGCUCAGACAGCCAGGAUGUUGGCUUAGAAGCAGCCAUCAUUUAAAGAAAGCGUAAUAGCUCACUGGUCGAGUCGGCCUGCGCGGAAGAUGUAACGGGGCUAAGUAGUAAACCGAAGCUGCGGCAAUGUGCUUUUGCACAUUGGGUAGGGGAGCGUUCUGUAAGCGGUUGAAGGUGUGUGGUAACGCAUGCUGGACGUAUCAGAAGUGCGAAUGCUGACAUGAGUAACGAUAAAGGGGGUGAAAAACCUCCUCGCCGGAAGACCAAGGGUUCCUGUCCAACGUUAAUCGGGGCAGGGUAAGUCGACCCCUAAGGCGAGGCCGAAAGGCGUAGUCGAUGGGAAACGGGUUAAUAUUCCCGUACUUCUUACAAUUGCGAUGGGGGACGGAGAAGGCUAGGUGGGCCUGGCGACGGUUGUCCAGGUUCAAGUGCGUAGGCUUGAGAGUUAGGUAAAUCCGGCUCUCUUUAAGGCUGAGACACGACGUCGAGCACCUACGGGUGUGAAGUCAUUGAUGCCAUGCUUCCAGGAAAAGCCUCUAAGCUUCAGAUUGUAAGGAAUCGUACCCCAAACCGACACAGGUGGUCGGGUAGAGAAUACCAAGGCGCUUGAGAGAACUCGGGUGAAGGAACUAGGCAAAAUGGUACCGUAACUUCGGGAGAAGGUACGCUCUCGACGGUGAAGUCCCUCGCGGAUGGAGCUAUUGAGAGUCGCAGAUACCAGGUGGCUGCAACUGUUUAUUAAAAACACAGCACUGUGCAAAAUCGUAAGAUGACGUAUACGGUGUGACGCCUGCCCGGUGCCGGAAGGUUAAUUGAUGGGGUUAGACUUCGGUCGAAGCUCUUGAUCGAAGCCCCGGUAAACGGCGGCCGUAACUAUAACGGUCCUAAGGUAGCGAAAUUCCUUGUCGGGUAAGUUCCGACCUGCACGAAUGGCGUAAUGAUGGCCACGCUGUCUCCACCCGAGACUCAGUGAAAUUGAAAUCGCUGUGAAGAUGCAGUGUACCCGCGGCUAGACGGAAAGACCCCGUGAACCUUUACUACAGCUUGGCACUGAACAUUGACCCUACAUGUGUAGGAUAGGUGGGAGGCUUUGAAGCACGUACGCCAGUAUGUGUGGAGCCGUCCUUGAAAUACCACCCUUGUAGUGUUGAUGUUCUAACGUCGACCCCUUAUCGGGGUUGCGGACAGUGCCUGGUGGGUAGUUUGACUGGGGCGGUCUCCUCCCAAAGAGUAACGGAGGAGCACGAAGGUGGGCUAAUCACGGUUGGACAUCGUGAGGUUAGUGCAAUGGCAUAAGCCCGCUUGACUGCGAGAAUGACAAUUCGAGCAGGUGCGAAAGCAGGUCAUAGUGAUCCGGUGGUUCUGAAUGGAAGGGCCAUCGCUCAACGGAUAAAAGGUACUCCGGGGAUAACAGGCUGAUACCGCCCAAGAGUUCAUAUCGACGGCGGUGUUUGGCACCUCGAUGUCGGCUCAUCACAUCCUGGGGCUGAAGUCGGUCCCAAGGGUAUGGCUGUUCGCCAUUUAAAGUGGUACGCGAGCUGGGUUUAGAACGUCGUGAGACAGUUCGGUCCCUAUCUGCCGUGGGCGUUGGAAGAUUGAAGGGGGCUGCUCCUAGUACGAGAGGACCGGAGUGGACGAACCUCUGGUGUUCGGGUUGUGUCGCCAGACGCAUUGCCCGGUAGCUAAGUUCGGAAUCGAUAACCGCUGAAAGCAUCUAAGCGGGAAGCGAGCCCUGAGAUGAGUCUUCCCUGAUACUUUAAGUAUCCUAAAGGGUUGUCGGAGACUACGACGUUGAUAGGUCAGGUGUGUAAGUGCUGUGAGGCAUUGAGCUAACUGAUACUAAUUGCCCGUGAGGCUUAACC
This 2876-nucleotide ribosomal RNA is filed under the name Vibrio parahaemolyticus. RNAcentral's name for it is "bacterial LSU rRNA". It matches the Rfam family "Bacterial large subunit ribosomal RNA". Lineage: Bacteria; Pseudomonadati; Pseudomonadota; Gammaproteobacteria; Vibrionales; Vibrionaceae. The record is from RNAcentral.